GAUGAAACGCUGGCGGCGUGCCUAAUACAUGCAAGUCGAGCGAACGGACGAGAAGCUUGCUUCUCUGAUGUUAGCGGCGGACGGGUGAGUAACACGUGGAUAACCUACCUAUAAGACUGGGAUAACUUCGGGAAACCGGAGCUAAUACCGGAUAAUAUUUUGAACCGCAUGGUUCAAAAGUGAAAGACGGUCUUGCUGUCACUUAUAGAUGGAUCCGCGCUGCAUUAGCUAGUUGGUAAGGUAACGGCUUACCAAGGCAACGAUGCAUAGCCGACCUGAGAGGGUGAUCGGCCACACUGGAACUGAGACACGGUCCAGACUCCUACGGGAGGCAGCAGUAGGGAAUCUUCCGCAAUGGGCGAAAGCCUGACGGAGCAACGCCGCGUGAGUGAUGAAGGUCUUCGGAUCGUAAAACUCUGUUAUUAGGGAAGAACAUAUGUGUAAGUAACUGUGCACAUCUUGACGGUACCUAAUCAGAAAGCCACGGCUAACUACGUG
RNAcentral lists this ribosomal RNA (498 nucleotides) under uncultured bacterium. RNAcentral describes it as "partial 16S ribosomal RNA". It matches the Rfam family "Bacterial small subunit ribosomal RNA", at positions 27 to 507 of the family's 1533-position model. The record is from RNAcentral.